Molecule: long non-coding RNA, 1401 nt
Filed under: Anas platyrhynchos platyrhynchos (common mallard)
Lineage: Eukaryota; Metazoa; Chordata; Aves; Anseriformes; Anatidae
Description: lncRNA (ENSAPLG00000022980.1)
Source: RNAcentral
GGCAGAGGUUGCCCAGCACAGCCACUGCUGCACUGGGGGACACGGUGCCAGUCCCUGGCCCCAGAGCUGCUGGGGGAGAGGGACGUGGGCUGCUGGGCCGGGCUGGGAGCUCCCAGCUCUGCGCGUACCAAGGUUGGGCAGAGCCGUGUGGGCAGCCUGGGGCAGGAUGCAGGCACCCGCUGAGAUCCAGCAGCAGCAGUGCACGGCCUCGGGUCCUCGGGGAGCUCGGCCUGCCCGGGCGAGUGGCAUUGCCCCUGCGCCACAUGCGCCGUGCGAGCUCCCGGCCGCCUCCUGUCUGAGCAGUGCCCGUCUUUGCACCCUGCAGAUCCGCAGCUUGCUGGGGCAGCACAGGAUGCCGAGAGCGCCCCUGAGCUUGCCCACGGGAGCCAGGGGCUGCUGCUGGAGGUGGACGCCCACGUGGCCGGCACCGUGCGGGCCCUGCAGGACGACAUGCAGCGCGUGCUGCAGCGCCUGAGCGAGCUGGAGACGCUCACCUCUGUGCAGGGGGACACCUCUGGGGCUGAACCUGGCCGGCUGCUUGCACCACAGGCAGCGUUCCCGUGGCCGCUGGCGGUGUCCCCGCGCACGCUGCUGUUCCUCAUCGCCUGGCCCUUCGUCACCCAGUGGCUGCUGCGCCGCUGGCAGGGCACCAAGAGGUGACCGCCGCGGGACGGCCCCGCUCCGCCUGCCCCCACCGCCACCGCCCUCCUGCCGCUUCUCACGAGCCGGGAAAGCGCCGGGACCGCCGCACCCCCACCCCCACCGCCGCCUUCCUGCCACCGGCGGCCCCGGCCCCGAGGGAGCCGAGCUGCGAGCCCGGGACCCCCCGGGACCCCCGGACCCCCCCCUCGCAGCCGGCCCCGGGUCGGGGCGGGGCCGCCUCGCACCGCCGCUCCCAGCCGCUGGGCCCGGCCCCGCACGCACGGGGGCGCCCGAGCGCUGCCCGCACCCGCGGCGCCGCCAUCACACAGCGGGGAGCGGGGCCGGAGCCCCCCGGGGGGGCCCGCGGGGAGCCGGGGGAGCUGCGGGGGCCGAGGCCCCAUUAAAGCGUUGCCUUCUCAGCCCGGCGCCCGCUCCGUGCUCUGCGGGGACCCCGGGGGGGGGCACCCCGCGACCACCGGCCCCGGCCCCGCCAGCCCCGGGCUGUGCCCGUGCCCCCCGGUGGCGGGGACAUCGCUGGGGGGGGGGGGGGGGGGGCCCGGCCCCGCCCCCUCGGGCCUGGGGGGGUCCUGGGGGGGGUCCCCGGGAGGUGCUGCCCCCCCCCGUCCCCGUCCCUCCCUCUCUCGGCCCCGCCCCUCCGGUUGUGGCCGCGGCGCCUUUAAGCCGGGCCUCGUCCCCUCCCGGUUUGUUUACAUCUCCCUCCGCGCUCUGACCGCAUCACCCAGCGCGGCCCCGGGACUC